This 320-nucleotide unclassified non-coding RNA is filed under the name plant metagenome. Its description in RNAcentral is "partial contains 5.8S ribosomal RNA, internal transcribed spacer 2, and large subunit ribosomal RNA". The stretch from base 1 to 105 matches the Rfam family "5.8S ribosomal RNA", at positions 50 to 154 of the family's 154-position model. The record is from RNAcentral.
GAAAUGCGAUAAGUAAUGUGAAUUGCAGAAUUCAGUGAAUCAUCGAAACUUUGAACGCACAUUGCGCCCGCCAGUAUUCUGGCGGGCAUGCCUGUUCGAGCGUCAUUACAACCCUCAGGCCCCCGGGCCUGGCGUUGGGGAUCGGCGGAAGCCCCCUGCGGGCACAACGCCGUCCCCCAAAUACAGUGGCGGUCCCGCCGCAGCUUCCAUUGCGUAGUAGCUAACACCUCGCAACUGGAGAGCGGCGCGGCCACGCCGUAAAACACCCAACUUCUGAAUGUUGACCUCGAAUCAGGUAGGAAUACCCGCUGAACUUAAGC